AUUACCAAAAAUACUUGAUUUUUAUUUCAUAGCAAAGCUCAGGAGGAAUAGACGAAAAAAGAGAAGAUGGGAGGAUUGAUCAAGAUUAAAAUAAAAAAUUAUGAUCAAAAUAAAAAGAAAAAUAUUUUAAAUUCUUAUGCAAGAACUAAAAAGCCUUGCAAGGUCAAGAAAAAAUUAUAAAAUAAAAUAAAAAAAAAAGCUCAGCAAGGAUAGCACCAUCAAAAUUUUGAAAUGUGCUUCAUUUUACACUUGUGUCGAAAGCCAAGGCACUGAGAUUCCUCCUGGCACAUCUCAAGGAGGCAUAAACGGAUGUCUGGUUCCAUUGAAAAUAACCUCAUGACCAUCAGUGAGCAGGAGCAUGAUAAAGAAAAGACAGGGAGAGAAUUAGGAUGUGAG
This 396-nucleotide long non-coding RNA is filed under the name Theobroma cacao (cacao). Its description in RNAcentral is "long non-coding RNA (TCAC_LNC005201)". The record is from RNAcentral. Lineage: Eukaryota; Viridiplantae; Streptophyta; Magnoliopsida; Malvales; Malvaceae.